GGAGUGUAGCCCAGUGGUAGAGUGCUUGCCUAACAUGCAGGAGGCCCUGGGUUCAAUCCUCAGCAUCA
RNAcentral lists this transfer RNA (68 nucleotides) under Marmota monax (woodchuck). RNAcentral describes it as "tRNA.Val". The stretch from base 5 to 65 matches the Rfam family "tRNA", at positions 6 to 65 of the family's 71-position model. Rfam says of the family: Transfer RNA (tRNA) molecules are approximately 80 nucleotides in length. The record is from RNAcentral. Lineage: Eukaryota; Metazoa; Chordata; Mammalia; Rodentia; Sciuridae.